UUGACCUCAAAUCAGGUAGGAGUACCC
RNAcentral lists this non-coding RNA (27 nucleotides) under Drosophila melanogaster (fruit fly). RNAcentral also lists the same sequence under 5 other names. The record is from RNAcentral. Lineage: Eukaryota; Metazoa; Arthropoda; Insecta; Diptera; Drosophilidae.